Molecule: unclassified non-coding RNA, 472 nt
Filed under: Hevea brasiliensis (rubber tree)
Lineage: Eukaryota; Viridiplantae; Streptophyta; Magnoliopsida; Malpighiales; Euphorbiaceae
Source: RNAcentral
AGUUGGGCAAACAAAGCGCAAAGUAGUUGCUUUAUUGAGUUUGGGUGGUCGGGAAACUUCAUACCUGCGUGGAUUUGGUGUGACUUCAAUAGGACCAUUAGAUUUCAAAUUUGGGGGAGUUGUAGUUGCUGCUUCAUCAUCGUCCACUGUUGCUUUUCUAGGUAUACUUCUGGGUUUUGUUUGUCUUUGAAUGUCUUUUUAUUUGGUGGAUUUUGCUGUGCGUGAGAUUGUAUCUCUGUAAUUCCUUCUCUCUUCAAUUUUAAUUUGUUGAUUAAAAUUGAAAUUAUUGAAAUUGCCUAACUUGUGGGAAUGAAUUUGUGAUACUAUUUUUCUGCUAAUACAUUUGGAUCGUAUUUAAAUCCGUGAAAUUACAAUUUUAUUGAAAAUUUUGUAUUUUCUAUGAUAUGAUAUGAGACAGAUUCUCCAGAGGAGAGAUUGAGAUAUUAAUGUAAAAAACAGGGGAAACAGAGAA